This 253-nucleotide ribosomal RNA is filed under the name uncultured bacterium. RNAcentral's name for it is "partial 16S ribosomal RNA". It matches the Rfam family "Bacterial small subunit ribosomal RNA", at positions 524 to 776 of the family's 1533-position model. The record is from RNAcentral.
UACGAAGGGGGCUAGCGUUGUUCGGAAUCACUGGGCGUAAAGGGCGCGUAGGCGGCUUUAUAAGUCGGGGGUGAAAGCCUGUGGCUCAACCACAGAAUUGCCUUCGAUACUGUAGAGCUUGAGACCGGAAGAGGUAAGUGGAACUGCGAGUGUAGAGGUGAAAUUCGUAGAUAUUCGCAAGAACACCAGUGGCGAAGGCGGCUUACUGGACAGUGACUGACGCUGAGACGCGAAAGCGUGGGGAGCAAACAGG